Molecule: ribosomal RNA, 489 nt
Filed under: uncultured bacterium
Lineage: Bacteria
Description: bacterial SSU rRNA
Rfam family: Bacterial small subunit ribosomal RNA
Source: RNAcentral
AGAGUUUGAUCCUGGCUCAGGACGAACGCUGGUGGCGUGUCUUAUACAUGCAAGUCGAGCGGUGCAGCAAUGCAUAGCGGCGAACGGGUGAGUAACACGUAAGCAAUCUGCCCCCUGCUUGGGAAUAGCCGUGCCAACGCGCGGAUAAUACCGAAUAUCGUGGCCUUCCGCAUGGGAGGUUGACAAAAGAUUUAUCGGGCAGGGGAUGAGCUUGCGUCCGAUUAGCUAGUUGGCGGGGCAACGGCCCACCAAGGCGACGAUCGGUAGCCGGCCUGAGAGGGCGAUCGGCCACAUUGGGACUGAGAUACGGCCCAGACUCCUACGGGAGGCAGCAGUAGGGAAUAUUGCACAAUGGGGGAAACCCUGAUGCAGCAACGCCACGUGUGGGAAGAAGCAUUUCGGUGUGUAAACCACUGUCGUGAGGGAAUAAGGCAUCGUUUCGGCGAUGUUGAAUGUACCUCGAAAGGAAGCACCGGCAAACUUCGUGCC